Molecule: ribosomal RNA, 200 nt
Filed under: uncultured bacterium
Lineage: Bacteria
Description: partial 16S ribosomal RNA
Rfam family: Bacterial small subunit ribosomal RNA
Source: RNAcentral
AAUCAACGCUGGCGGCGUGCCUAACACAUGCAAGUCGAACGCGAAAGGGGCUUCGGCCCUGAGUAGAGUGGCGAACGGGUGAGUAACACGUGGGUGAUCUACCUUCGAGUGGGGGAUAACGUCCCGAAAGGGACGCUAAUACCGCAUGACGCUCUGGGUUUAAAGACCUGGAAACCAAAGCCGGGGACCGCAAGGCCUGG